Molecule: small RNA, 128 nt
Filed under: Marmota monax (woodchuck)
Lineage: Eukaryota; Metazoa; Chordata; Mammalia; Rodentia; Sciuridae
Source: RNAcentral
GCUGGGUGUGGAGGUGCACACCUGUAAUCUCAGUGGCUUGGCAGGCUGAGGCAGGAGGAUCACAAGUUCAAAGCCAGCCUCAGCAAUUUAGCCAGGCCCUAAAGAAUUUAGUGAGACCCCUGUCUCUA